AAAUUGAAGAGUUUGAUCAUGGCUCAGAUUGAACGCUGGCGGCAGGCCUAACACAUGCAAGUCGAACGGUAACAGGAAGCAGCUUGCUGCUUUGCUGACGAGUGGCGGACGGGUGAGUAAUGUCUGGGAAACUGCCUGAUGGAGGGGGAUAACUACUGGAAACGGUGGCUAAUACCGCAUAACGUCGCAAGACCAAAGAGGGGGACCUUCGGGCCUCUUGCCAUCAGAUGUGCCCAGAUGGGAUUAGCUUGUUGGUGAGGUAACGGCUCACCAAGGCGACGAUCCCUAGCUGGUCUGAGAGGAUGACCAGCCACACUGGAACUGAGACACGGUCCAGACUCCUACGGGAGGCAGCAGUGGGGAAUAUUGCACAAUGGGCGCAAGCCUGAUGCAGCCAUGCCGCGUGUAUGAAGAAGGCCUUCGGGUUGUAAAGUACUUUCAGCGGGGAGGAAGGUGUUGUGGUUAAUAACCACAGCAAUUGACGUUACCCGCAGAAGAA
This 499-nucleotide ribosomal RNA is filed under the name Salmonella enterica. Its description in RNAcentral is "bacterial SSU rRNA". It matches the Rfam family "Bacterial small subunit ribosomal RNA", at positions 1 to 489 of the family's 1533-position model. Lineage: Bacteria; Pseudomonadati; Pseudomonadota; Gammaproteobacteria; Enterobacterales; Enterobacteriaceae. RNAcentral also lists the same sequence under 1 other name. The record is from RNAcentral.